RNA transcript from Apis cerana (Asiatic honeybee), 2795 nucleotides. It is a transcript of the gene named golgi SNAP receptor complex member Gos28, with no coding region annotated. The record is from RefSeq and is a predicted model, not a curated record. NCBI's taxonomy places the organism in Eukaryota, Metazoa, Arthropoda, Insecta, Hymenoptera, Apidae.
UUUCAUGGGAAUGAUCCUUGUUUAAGUUCUUUCGCCAUUUUUUGUCUUCUAUCUGUAAGUCUAUGUAUAUGUUGGUUAGGUAUAUUGUUAGGAAACUACUACGUCUAUCAUCUGUUCCGUUAAGCUAUGUUACUUAUGUCGUAUAUAUCUAUCUACAUAUCAUAGAAAAGGAACUAUCGCGUUCGUGCUUUACGAACAACAAAUGGCUAACGCAUUAGAUGCUGUCGAUUGGGAAGAUCUUAGAAGGCAAGCAAGACAUUUGGAAAAUGAAAUUGAUGCUAAAUUGGUAGCAUUCAGUAAACUUGGUGUUAAUACUGGAGCUAAACUUGUUAAUAGUGAUGAAGUACCUCUUUUAGAUGAAGAACAUGUCUUUGAAAAUAUGGCUUCUGAAAUAGAAACAUUACUUGCUAAAUUAUUUUCUAUAAAUGAAAAAAUGAGUAAAUUGCAACCAAAUGGUGCUGCAAUGUUACAUACAAUGCAACGUCAUAAAGACAUAUUAAAAGAUUAUAAAUUAGAAUUCAAUAAAAUUAGAAAUAAUUUUGCUGCAAGAAGAGAUAGAGAAGAUUUAUUAGGAAGUGUUCGUAAAGAAAUCGAUAAUUACAAAAAUGUGAGUGGAUUAAAUCGACGAGAAAUGUAUAUGAAAGAAAAUCAACAUAUUCACAAUUCGGAUCGUUUGCUUAAUGAUCAAAUAAGCAUAGCAAUGGAAACGCGCGAUCAUUUGAUGACGCAAAGACAAACAUUCAAACGUAUACAAACCAGAUUAAAUGACAUGUCAAAUCGAUUUCCAGCAGUAAAUAGUUUAGUGCAAAGGAUAAAUCUACGUAAAAGACGAGAUUCACUUAUUCUCGGCUUUAUUAUCGGAUUUUGCACAUUUCUCAUGUUACUCUAUGCUUUUCACUAAAUAAUAUUCUAUACCAAAGUACUUCCACCUAUAAGGAUAUAUAAGGAAUUAGUGAUUCAUCAAUGGGAAUGCAUACAUAGACGAGAUCAUAAAUUGUGAGAUCCAUUUAUUUAGCUAUCGAAACUCGUCCAGGCGUACAAACAACAGACAUCUACUCAAUAUACAUGCGAAUUGCAUGACUACUUAUGAUUUCUGAAUAUAAAUAUACUGCCGUAUGUAUCGUUCAAAUCUAACUUUUAAUGCUGACUACUUAUAAAUGAAGAAUAUUAGGAGACGAGGUUAUACAUUUUUUUUCUUAUUACAUAAGAUUUUUAAAAUUAUCCACUUAUUAUUGUAAUAAUAAUGUCGGUCACAGUAAUACAUUUUAUAUGUAUAUAUGUGUAUAUAUAUAUAUAUAUAUAUAUAUAUAUAUAUAUAUAUAUAUAUAUAUACACAUAUACAUAUAUAUAUAUAAAGAAAUAUAUAUGAAAAACAAAUUUGUAAAAACAUACAAGAAUUACACUAUCUUGGCACUUAUUUCAUAAAUAAUAAACAUUAGUUUUAACAUAAAAUUUAUAGAAUAAUAAUCUCCUUUUAUUACCUCGUUCCUUCAUCUCCUUGUAAUAGUAAUAAUAGUUUUGCAGUGAAGAUACUAGUACUAAUAAUAGUAGCAGUUGUGUAAUAACAUUAAUGAUAGCAGUAGCAAUGGUCAUUAAUUAACUAUUCAAUGAAUUCAACGAUCAAACAAAAGGACUGGACAGUUGCGUAUACAUUUGCAUAUAUUCCAGCGAAAAUCGAUUGCUUGUUGCACUGUUUUUUCUAUAUCAUUCUAAUACUACUUUAUAUAUUUUUUUUUGGGUUUUCCUUACUUCUAUUUUGUUAAUCAGUCACAAUAUAUAUUUGAGUAAGAAAACCCAUUUCUAUAACUAAGAUUUUAAUCGAUUCUCACUGAAUGUUUAAAUUUGUUCUUCAAGAUAUGAUUAGCAUAAAAUAUGAUUCUUAAGUUAUAUGUAUUAUUAUAGCUUAAUUUUAUAUUUCCACAUAAGAAUCUUACUUCUCUCCAAAUUUGAUAAAAUUUUUCAUAAUACACGAAAGAUAAAGCUAUUCCGCAUAAAUUGAAAUUUUCCUAUAAUAUAAUGCAGGGAUAGAGAUAGAAAUAGAAACAGAUGAAACAGAAAUAAACAGACGAAGACAAGCAGAGAGAAAGAGAGAGAGAGAGAGAGAGAGAGAGAGAGAGAGAGAGAGACUGAGAGAGACUCUAACUGACUGACUGACUGACUGACUGACUGACUAAAUAUCUAUGUCCAGUGAUACAUUUUACAAAACAAUUGUAAUAUUUUUUUUCGCAUACAAAAGGAGUGACAAAUUUACUUUGCAUGUAAUCAUAAUUAUUAUAAAAUUAUAGACUUUGUUAUUUUCUUUUUUUCUUGAUUCAAUGACACGAAAAACAGAUAAAUGAAAAAUAGAAAAAGAUUCAUUCCCGUUAACGUCUAACUAAAAAGCGGUGGGAUCUAUUAAAGUUUAACAAAAAAAAACAAAGAAAAAAAAAAGAAAUAUGUUAGCUACUUAAUAAUGUUUUUUUGUUUGAUCGGGAUGUAAUAGGUAUACAAAGUAUACUUCGUUGAAAUGAUUAAAUUAAAAACGUUAAAGCCUAACGAAAAAAUAAGUUUCGAUCUCAUGAAAUUCAUAGAUUGGAAAUAUUUAUGCACACGUUCGUUUCACUCGUCAUUACGGCAAUUAAAAUAAAGUUAUAGAUCCAACUUUCGAAUCUAUAUACUUAUUAAUUGAUAUAAUCAAUUUAUAUCUUUGCCGUGCAUUUGCAAAUGCACCCUCUUCUUUAUCUGAAUUUUGUCGCAAGACUUAGGAAGAGGGAUUUGUCCAUGUUAUAUUCACAUUAAUCGCUUCUUUUGGUCCU